UACGUAGGGGGCAAGCGUUGUCCGGAUUUAUUGGGCGUAAAGAGCGUGUAGGCGGCCAUGUAGGUCCGUUGUGAAAACUCGAGGCUCAACCUCGAGACGCCGAUGGAAACCAUGUGGCUAGAGUCCGGAAGAGGAGAGUGGAAUUCCUGGUGUAGCGGUGAAAUGCGCAGAUAUCAGGAGGAACACCGGUGGCGAAGGCGGUGAUCUGGGCCGGUACUGACGCUGAGGAGCGAAAGCGUGGGGAGCAAACAGG
Molecule: ribosomal RNA, 253 nt
Filed under: uncultured bacterium
Lineage: Bacteria
Description: partial 16S ribosomal RNA
Rfam family: Bacterial small subunit ribosomal RNA
Source: RNAcentral